UACGUAGGGGGCAAGCGUUGUCCGGAUUUAUUGGGCGUAAAGAGCGUGUAGGCGGCCAGACAGGUCCGUUGUGAAAACUAGAGGCUUAACCUCUAGACGUCGAUGGAAACCGUCUGGUUAGAGUCCGGAAGAGGAGAAUGGAAUUCCUGGUGUAGCGGUGAAAUGCGCAGAUAUCAGGAAGAACACCCGUGGCUAAGGCGGUUCUCUAGUACGGUACUGACGCUGAGACGCGAAAGCGUGGGGAGCGAACAGG
This 253-nucleotide ribosomal RNA is filed under the name uncultured bacterium. RNAcentral's name for it is "partial 16S ribosomal RNA". It matches the Rfam family "Bacterial small subunit ribosomal RNA", at positions 524 to 776 of the family's 1533-position model. The record is from RNAcentral.